UUGAAUGUUUCAAUGUGUUAGAGAGAGAACGUGUAUUUCGGACACAAUAUGGCGACCGACAAACGUCAAUGUUAAUUGUCAAACGCCGUUUGUGUUUUUUGCAAAGUUGUUUGUGUUUUUUGUAAAGUUGUUUGUGUUUUUUUGUUGUGUUUUAUGACUUUUAUUUUAAAAUGCCAAGUUGUUGUGUUCCUUUGUGUGGAAAUAAAAGCCGAUUGUUUCGUCUUCCAACAGGUGUUAGUAAUAGGGCUAGACUAGAAGAGAGAUGUGGGAGAAUUUAAUAGGCCGGGACGAUUUGAACGACAACUCCAGAGUUUGCGAAUUACAACAAUUUGAAGCAAAGCGAGCAGAUGGAAGGAAACUAUUGCGGCCGAAAUUUUGUUAAUAAACUGAUAUUGCAAGG
This is a long non-coding RNA of Zophobas morio, 400 nucleotides long. RefSeq lists it as uncharacterized. NCBI's taxonomy places the organism in Eukaryota, Metazoa, Arthropoda, Insecta, Coleoptera, Tenebrionidae. The transcript has 3 exons. The record is from RefSeq and is a predicted model, not a curated record.